Molecule: long non-coding RNA, 1502 nt
Filed under: Salmo salar (Atlantic salmon)
Lineage: Eukaryota; Metazoa; Chordata; Actinopteri; Salmoniformes; Salmonidae
Description: lncRNA (ENSSSAG00000104697.1)
Source: RNAcentral
CUGCUGCUAUGCCAGCCACCACUCACCACCUGAGCCACAAGCACUGCACUGCCCAGGAAUGUCCAGCUGGGAAAAUCAGCAGCAGCAAGCUAGCUAAUUCUCCAACAGAAAGAUGAAGUAUUGAGAAAUGGAUGAAUUGACGCAGUGACCAAAAUCAAACUACUUUUGCAAAUAAUAGUUUAAUUAAUUCACUAAUAAUAAGGCUUGUGACGAUGUGCCCGGAGAUGCAUGGAAUAAGCAAGCUAGUUAAGCAGAUAGCUAUGUGACCUGUUAGCAAAGAUUACGAUAACUUACCCUUUCAUAUGUGGUGUUAGCUAGCUAGCUAUAUUAGCUACUAUGCUAGCUAGCUGGCUAGAUAAACAUGGUGUUAAGAUAUCAGAUAGGAGCUAAUAGCCAACGUAGUUAGCUAACGUUACCUGGUUAUCAUUUUGAACAUGCACCAUGUUUAGCAAUACUAUAUGAUAUGAGCGAUGGAGACAGAUGUGAGGAGAUGUGAAAGGGAGCGUAGUUAAAGCCUUGCUCUAUCCAAUCGUAGCAGUAGGAUGAAGUCAGUUAUUAGUUAUUAGGCUAUUAUUAGUUAUUAGGCCAUUAGAGUUAUUAGGCUAUUAGAGUUAUUAGGCUAUUAUAGCUAUUAGAGUUAUUAGGCUAUUAGAGUUAUUAGGCUAUUAUUAGUUAUUAGGCUAUUAUUAGUUAUUAGGCUAUUAUUAGUUAUUAGGCUAUUAUUAGUUAUUAGGCUAUUAUUAGUUAUUAGGCUAUUAUUAGUUAUUAGGCUAUUAUUAGUUAUUAGGCUAUUAUUAGUUAUUGGGUUAUUAGGUAUUGGGCUAUUAUUAGUUAUUGGGCUAGUAUUAGUUAUUAGGCUAUUAGAUUUAUUAGGCUAUUAUUAGUUAUUGGGUUAUUAGAGUUAUUGGUUAUUAGGCUGUUAUUAGUUAUUAGGCUAUUAUUAGUUAUUAGGCUAUUAGUUGGACUGGGCGAUAUGACCAAAAUUUCAUAUCACAAUAUUUGAAAACAUUUUGAUGGUAUAUACAGUAUUUGACAGAAUUGAGUGUUUUUGAAUAAUACAGGUUUUAAAUGUGCUUUAUGAGUUGACCCUUGGGUGGCAUCACAUACAUUCUGGGAUUUCAAUGGUUCUUUCUCCAUUCUGGUUGUUUUCUACUAUUAUGGGCCCAGGUCAACAGUAGUGCACUACAUGGGGAAUAGAGGGACAUUUGGAAUGCAGCCUUAGUUAGGACAGACAUGAGGCUCUGCUGCUGACUCCUAACCCAGUUGGCGUGGCUGGCAGCUAGCUAGUCAACAUCUCCUGGGACACUCCUCUCCUCCUCCCUCCUCUCCUCUCCUCCUGAUAAGAACACGUCUGAGACCUUGGGAAGUCCAGAGGGAGAAGCAUGUUGACAAAACAGGGAGAGAGAUAUGCUUUCCUCUCCACCUCUCCUCCCCUGGCCUCUCCUCUGCCUCUCUUACUCUCCUCCCCUGGCCUCUCCUCUACCUCUCCACCUCUCCUCCCC